GAUGAACGCUGGCGGCGUGCCUAAUACAUGCAAGUCGAGCGAACAGACGAGGAGCUUGCUCCUCUGACGUUAGCGGCGGACGGGUGAGUAACACGUGGAUAACCUACCUAUAAGACUGGGAUAACUUCGGGAAACCGGAGCUAAUACCGGAUAAUAUAUUGAACCGCAUGGUUCAAUAGUGAAAGACGGUUUUGCUGUCACUUAUAGAUGGAUCCGCGCCGCAUUAGCUAGUUGGUAAGGUAACGGCUUACCAAGGCAACGAUGCGUAGCCGACCUGAGAGGGUGAUCGGCCACACUGGAACUGAGACACGGUCCAGACUCCUGCGGGAGGCAGCAGUAGGGAAUCUUCCGCAAAGGGCGAAAGCUUGACGGAGCAACGCCGCGUGAGUGAUGAAGGUCUUCGGAUCGUAAAACUCUGUUAUUAGGGAAGAACAAAUGUGUAAGUAACUAUGCACGUCUUGACGGUACCUAAUCAGAAAGCCACGGCUAACUACGUG
This 497-nucleotide ribosomal RNA is filed under the name uncultured bacterium. RNAcentral describes it as "partial 16S ribosomal RNA". It matches the Rfam family "Bacterial small subunit ribosomal RNA", at positions 28 to 507 of the family's 1533-position model. The record is from RNAcentral.